AUCAAAAACAUAGUUUAAAGUAAUCUUUUUAAAUGUAUCCUGCCCAGUGUAUUUUAUAAAUGGCCGCAGUACCCUGACUGUGCAAAGGUAGCAUAAUCAAUUGGCUUUUAAUUAGAGUCUGGAAUGAAAGGAUUUAUGGAAAAAAACUGUCUUUAAAGUAUUUUAUAAAAUUUAUUUAAAAGGUGAAAAUACCUUUAUCUUAAGAAAAAAGACGAGAAGACCCUUAGAAUUUUUAUAAUAUAUUUUUACUAUUUAUUUUUGUUGGGGCGACAAUUAAGCAAUAAAACCUUAAGUUAUUUAAAACGAAAUUGUUAUAAAAGAUUAAAUUACCUUAGGGAUAACAGCAUUAUUUAUAAAAGUUUGUGACCUCGAUGUUGGACUAGGAACUUUAUGGCUAGCAGUCUAAAAAGAUUUGUUCUGUUCGAACAAUAAAAUCC
RNAcentral lists this ribosomal RNA (437 nucleotides) under Glyptophysa sp. NZla2. RNAcentral's name for it is "partial 16S ribosomal RNA". It matches the Rfam family "Bacterial large subunit ribosomal RNA", at positions 1806 to 2596 of the family's 2925-position model. The record is from RNAcentral. Lineage: Eukaryota; Metazoa; Mollusca; Gastropoda; Planorbidae.